Molecule: ribosomal RNA, 1326 nt
Filed under: Karenia brevis
Lineage: Eukaryota; Dinophyceae; Gymnodiniales; Kareniaceae
Description: partial Bacterial small subunit ribosomal RNA
Rfam family: Bacterial small subunit ribosomal RNA
Source: RNAcentral
UUGGUGAGUUUGAUCCUGGCUCGGGAUGAACGUUGGAGGCAUGCCUUGAGACAUGCAAGUUGGUCGGAAAUCAUUUCAAAUUUAAUUUCCGUAGCGGACGGGUGCGUAACACGUGAGAAUCAACCCUUAGGGACGAGGAUAAAGGUCGGUGACGAUUUCUAAAACUCUAUAAGCCGUGUCAAUUACCCAUGUAGUUGUCGGUGAAGAUUUCCUAGGGACGAGCUUGCGCCUGAUUAGUUAGUUGGCGAGGUAAUGGCUCACCAAGACUAUGAUCAGUAGCUGGUUUGAGAGAGCGGUCAGCCACAUUGGGAUUGAGAUACGGCCCAAACUUCUUCGGGGGGCAGCAGUCGGGAAUUUUCCGCAAUGGGCGCAAGCCUGACGGAGCGAUGCCUUGUGGAGGAUGAAGGAUCAUAAAGGUUCGUAAACUCCUUUUAUUAAGGAACAUUAAUUGUCGUUUCCGUAUUUAGAUAGUACUUAAAGAAUCAAGUAUCGGCUAACUCUGUGCCAGCAGCCGCGGUAAUACGGGGGAUGCAAACGUUGUCCAGUUGUAUUGGGCGUAAAGCGUCCGUAGGUGGACUGGUAAGUUUAUUGUUAAAGAUUCUGGCUCAACCAGGAAAAAGCAAUGAAAACUGCUGGACUAGAGAGUGGACGGGGUGAAGAGAAUAUCUAGUGGAGCGGUAAAAUGCGAUGAUAUUAGGCGGAACACCAGUGGCGAAAGCGCUUCACUAGACCAUUUCUGACACUGAGGGACGAAAGCUAGGGGAGCAAAAAGGAUUAGGUACCCUUGUAGUCCUAUCGCUGUAAACGCUGGGUACUAGAUGUCGCAGUGGUGCGGUGUCUUAGCUAACGCGUUAAGUACCCCGCCUGGGGAGUACGCUCGCAAGGGUGAAACUCAAAGGAAUUGACGGGACCCCUCGCAAGCGGUGGAGCAUGCUGUUUAAUUCGAUCAACGCGAAGAACCUUACCUAGAUUUGACCUUCUAUAAAUCUCCAUGAAAAUGGAGGAAACCAAACUUACAUGGUGUAAAAGCUUCUUAGGGAGCAGUAGUUACAGGUGGUGCAUGGCUGUCGUCAGUUCGUGUCGUGAGAUGUCAGGUUAAGUCCUAGUAACGAACGCAACCCUUAUCCUUAGUUAAUUAUAUGUCUAGGGAAACGGCCAACGAUCAAGUUGGAGGAAGGAGAGGAUGACGUCAAGUCAGCAUGCCCCUUACGCCCUGGGCUACACACGUGCUACAAUGGCCGGGACAAAGAGCUGCAACCCCGCGAGGGCAAGCCAACCUCAAAAACCCGGUCUCAGUUCGGAUUGCAGGCUGCAACUCGCCUGCAU